AUGGCUGUUGGGUCAUUGUCUUUUUUCUUCCUCACAUGCACGUACAUUUCUGCAUCGAUCAGGUAAGAUGGUUUUUAUUUCAGUUUCUUUUGCUUAUUCUCUUGCUACGACUUUUUGGGUAUUUGCUUAUUUUGUAGCUUUUAUGGGAGUUAGGUCUGAUCUCAUCUCAUUUGUGUGGGACAGUUUGAUUUUGUUGGCAAGUGAUUGUGAUUUGGUUUAAUAAAAAUAAAAAAUCAAGUAAUAACAUUUCUCUCUCCUGUGUCUUUUCGGUUCCUUUAUAGAGAAAGAAGAAAGAGAGAAGUUUUACUUCUCUGCCAAUGAACGUUAGGAUGCACAAAUCCACCCGAACGGACCGAUUCAAUAAGAUUAGAGCCCAGCCCAAAUUUCCCCUGUUUUUGAUUAGCUCUGAUUUCUCGAUCUUUAUCAAUGGCGACCAAAGAAGGAAAAGCCAUCAGAAUCGUCUUGCGGCCAAGACCGAUCUCCACGUCUGUUUCUUUGUUCUUUAAUUUGUCUAUUUUAUUAGAGGGAUAUUGUAGGAAUUUUGUAAUAUUAAAGAAUUUAUUUUUGUCUAAAAAAAUAUAAACUCAUUCAGAUGUGCCC
Molecule: long non-coding RNA, 600 nt
Filed under: Panax ginseng (ginseng)
Lineage: Eukaryota; Viridiplantae; Streptophyta; Magnoliopsida; Apiales; Araliaceae
Description: long non-coding RNA (PGIN_LNC015747)
Source: RNAcentral